UCUACCGGUAUGCAGAACUGCUAUAAUAAACAUCAUUUUAUGAAGAAUCUAGACACUGUUUUCUGUAACAUAUGUUACAGUUAAUCUGUAUAAUCAGGUAAUAUACAUAUUACCUGAAAUAUACUUCACUAAUUUAUACAGAUAACCUGAAACAUGCAGAAUGGUAUUGACAAGUCUUUAGAUCAAUGUAGACCCAAGGUCUCAGUUCAAAACAAGUCUUUUGAUCAAUGUAGUCCACGUUCUCAGUUCAAAACAAGUCUUUUGAUCAAUGUAGUCCAAGUUCUCCUUGAUUGGUCACAAUACCUUUGAUGUACCUGUUCAUUGUUAAAUCAUUUCAUAGACAAUGUUACAGUUAAUCUGUAUAAUCCACCACUGCUGUUUUAACUAAUCCUAUCUGUAGAGCACAAUAAAGCCACCCAGGCACCCAAGAAA
Molecule: long non-coding RNA, 432 nt
Organism: Gigantopelta aegis
Lineage: Eukaryota; Metazoa; Mollusca; Gastropoda; Neomphalida; Peltospiridae
Exons: 2
Source: RefSeq, a predicted model, not a curated record